RNAcentral lists this ribosomal RNA (450 nucleotides) under uncultured bacterium. RNAcentral's name for it is "partial 16S ribosomal RNA". It matches the Rfam family "Bacterial small subunit ribosomal RNA", at positions 354 to 796 of the family's 1533-position model. The record is from RNAcentral.
GUGGGGAAUCUUCCGCAAUGGACGAAAGUCUGACGGAGCAACGCCGCGUGAGUGAUGAAGGUCUUCGGAUUGUAAAGCUCUGUUAAUCGGGACGAAAGAGCCUAGUGUGAAUAAUGCUAGGAAGUGACGGUACCGGAAUAGAAAGCCACGGCUAACUACGUGCCAGCAGCCGCGGUAAUACGUAGGUGGCAAGCGUUGUCCGGAAUUAUUGGGCGUAAAGCGCGCGCAGGCGGAUCUGCCAGUCUGUCUUAAAAGUUCGGGGCUUAACCCCGUGAUGGGAUGGAAACUACAGAUCUAGAGUAACGGAGAGGAAAGGGGAAUUCCUAGUGUAACGGUGAAAUGCGUAGAUAUUAGGAAGAACACCAGUGGCGAAGGCGACUUUCUGGACGAAAACUGACGCUGAGGCGCGAAAGCCAGGGGAGCGAACGGGAUUAGAAACCCGUGUAGUCC